CCUUAAAACUUAGGGGUGUGAAUUUUUAGUAGGAGGAUUUUAGAUGGGGCAAAAGGAUCCAAUCAGAUGGUUCAUCCAAUAAAGUCUGAUGGUCAACAUAGCCAACCUUGCACAAAAUAAAGCAAGUGGAUAAAAAAAAGAUUUAUAGUGCACAAAUACUACGAACAUGGGUAGUGAUCAUAUAUAUAGUGAGUAAAUUGCACCCGCUUCAAUCAUCAUCAAGCCUGAUAGAGAAAAGUAAAUAAAUAUAGAAAAAUUAAUACAUUGUGACAUACCUUAAUAUUCGGAGAUGUGGAGAUUUACAUUGGAGAGUUUGGUAUCUGAUUUGCGCAGUCCAUCCAAUCAAAUCCGUUGGUCAAGCUAGUCAUUCAUAAGCAAAACCAAAAAAGUGAAUAAAGGCAACGUUCUUCUUACCCAAAUUAGAAAUAACCUAAUUAAAAUUAAUAAAGUACAACAUUACAACAUAUCUAAUUGCGUAGUGAGAAAGGAAGUUGAUUGGAUCCACUACGAGUUCGAGACCUAUAAAUAAGAACAAGGUUAUCGAUCGGCCUUUGACGCUCAACUUAGUUAUGGCACUAAAGAAGAAAAAUAUAAGAAAAAUUAUGAAAUAAUUUCAUACCUUAAAACUUCGGAGUAUGAAUUUUUUGGAGGAUUUUAGAUGGGAAAAAAGGAUCAAAUCAGAUGGUCCAUCCAAUAAAAUCCGAUGGUUAAUAUAGCCAACCUUGCACAAAAUAAAGCAAGUGGAUAAAAAAAAUUUAUGGUGCACAAAUACCAACUACACAUAAUUAUAAAUAUUACGAACAUGAGUAGUGAUCAUAUAUAUAGUGUGAGCAAGUCGCACCAGCUUCAAUCAUGAUCGAAGCCCGACAGAGAAAAGUAGAUAAAUAUAGAAAAUUAAAUACAUUGUUCCAUACCUUAAUAUUUGGAGAUAUGCAGAUUUACAUUGGAGAGUUUGGCAUUCGUGGUCUAUCCAAUCAAGUCUACUAGUCAAUUGUGUUGGUCCUCGCAAAAUCAAACAAAGUGCAAAAAAAUUAAAACACCUUACACAAAUAUACAAAGUAACAACGAAGUAUAGCAUAAGGUAAUUAGAGUAUUCGUAGGUCUAGUAAAUCAUACCCGCUUACGUGAUUAUAGAACCUGAACAAUAAACUAAAAGAUCAACCAUGAUGACUGUGACACCUACAAAAGAGGACCAGGUUAGCACCCCCGGGCCAGUGACCUAACAAGGGCACUCCGAAAUCAAAUCAGGUAUGGUCUACGAGACGAUAUACAUAGAGAGAGAAAUUUUAAUGCAUGAUUUCAUACAUUAACCCCUAGAAGUGUGGAUCUUGAUAAAAGACGAUUUACUUACGGCCAAGGUAUCUCGUUUGCGUGGUCUAUCUAAUCAAAUAUGAUGGUCAAUCUAGUCGUUCCUAAGCAAGACCAAAAAAGUGAAUAUAGGCAAUAUUCCUCGUACCCUAAUACGAAGUAACCUAGUUAAAAUUAAUCAAGUACAACAUUACUACAUAUCUAAUUACCUCGUGAGAAAUGAGAAGUUGGUUGGGUCUACUGUGAGUUCGAGACCUACAGAAAUGAACGAUGUUACCGCCCAACCUCUAACAAUGAAUUUAGUUAUGGCACUAAAGAAGAAAAAUAUAAAAAAUUUAAUGGAAUAGUUUCAUACCUUAAAACUUUGAGGUGUGGAUUUUUAGUAGGAGGAUUUAGAUGGGGCAAAAGUAUCCAAUCAAAUGGUCCAUCCAAUAAAGUCCGAUGGUCAAUAUAGCCAACCUUGCACAAAAUAAAGCAAGUGGAUAAAAAAAAAUUAUGGGGCACAAAUACAACUACAUGUAAUUAGAAAUACUACGAACAUUAGUAGUGAUCAUAUAUAUAGUGUGAGCAAAUUGCACCCGCUUAAAUCAUGAUCGAAGCCCGACAGAGAAAAGGAAAUAAAUAUAAAAAAUUUAAUGCAUUAUUCCAUGCUUUAAUAUUCAGAGAUGUGGAGAUUUACAUUGGAGAGUUUGGCAUAUGUGGUCUAUCCAAUCAAGUCUGCUACUCAAUCGUGUUGGUCUUCCCAAAAUCAAACAAGUGAAAAAAAAUUAAAACACCUUACACAAAAAUACAAGCAACAUCAAAGUAUAGCAUAAGGUAAUUAGAGUAUUCGUAAGUCUAGUAAAUCAUACCCGCUUACGUAAUGAUAGAACUUGAACAAUAAACUAAAAGAUCCACCAUGAUGACUGUGACACCUAAAAAAGAGGAUCAGGUUAGCACCCCGGGCCAGUGACCUAAUGGGGGCACUCUGAAAUCAAGUCAGGUACGGCCUACGAGACGAUAUACAUAGAGAGAGAAAGAGAAAUUUUAAUGCAUGAUUUUAUACUUUAAUCCCUAUAGGUGUGGAUCUUGAUAAAAGAGGAUUUACUUACGGCCAAAAGUAUCAUAUUCGCGAGGUCUAUCUAAUCAAAUCCAAUGGUCAAUAUUGUCAUUCUUAUGCAAGACCAAAAAGUGGAUAUAGGCAAUGCUCCACGUACCCAAAUACUAAGUAAUCUAAUUAAAAUUAAUGAAGUAUAACAUUACAACAUAACUAAUUACCUCGUGAGAAAGGAAAAGUUGGUUGGAUCUACUAUGAGUUCGAGACCUACAGAAAUAAAUAAGGUUACAACCCAACCUCUGACACUAGGCAUAGUUAUGGCACUAAAGAAAAAAAUAUAUAGAAAAUUUAAUGCAGUAGUUUCAUACCUUAAAACUUCAGGGUGUGAAUUUUUAGUAGGAGUAUUUUAUAUGAGGCAAAAAGAUCCAAUCGGAUGGUCCAUCCAAUAAAGUCCGAUGGUCAAUAUAACCAACC
This 2818-nucleotide long non-coding RNA is filed under the name Actinidia chinensis (golden kiwifruit). Its description in RNAcentral is "long non-coding RNA (ACHI_LNC007296)". Lineage: Eukaryota; Viridiplantae; Streptophyta; Magnoliopsida; Ericales; Actinidiaceae. The record is from RNAcentral.